CUGGUGUUUGGGUUUUUUUUAGUCAUUAAUUAGUAAAGACUUAAAAUUGCAAUUUUAUACACUUACCCAAUCCUACACAGGGAGCUUUCUCAAUAUUUUAUAAAGCAAUUACCUAGUUGCUUUUUCAGUCAGAAUGCUUAUGGCCAGUAAUGCAUCCCCUCACAUUCAUUCUCCUUGAGCAGCAGACAUGUAAUGACAACACACUGAUAAAAAUGAAAUUGCUGAAGUUUCCCUGAGCAAAGCCUAAGCCAAGAAGGGACAACAGAUUAUUCCUCACUUGUUGCAAGAGUUUAUCCUCCCUUUCAUGCACUUGUCUCCUGCAAGGAUAAAACACAUCAGCAAUUUCUUAGGGAAGCUACUCAAGCAGCACUAAAAAAGCAACAAGGGGAACCCUUGGUAUUUCUUCAUGGUAUACACAAACUCUAAAA
This is a long non-coding RNA of Pogoniulus pusillus (Red-fronted tinkerbird), 428 nucleotides long. RefSeq lists it as uncharacterized. The transcript has 2 exons. NCBI's taxonomy places the organism in Eukaryota, Metazoa, Chordata, Aves, Piciformes, Lybiidae. The record is from RefSeq and is a predicted model, not a curated record.